This 467-nucleotide ribosomal RNA is filed under the name uncultured bacterium. RNAcentral's name for it is "partial 16S ribosomal RNA". It matches the Rfam family "Bacterial small subunit ribosomal RNA", at positions 28 to 523 of the family's 1533-position model. The record is from RNAcentral.
GACGAACGCUGGCGGCGUGCUUAACACAUGCAAGUCGAGCGAGAAACUUCGGUUUCUAGCGGCGGACGGGUGAGUAACACGUGGGCAACCUGCCUCACAAUGGGGGAUAGCCUUCCGAAAGGAAGAUUAAUACCGCAUAACACAAAGGAAACGCAUGUCUCUUUUGCCAAAGAAUUUCGUUGUGAGAUGGGCCCGCGGCGCAUUAGCUUGUUGGUGAGGUAACGGCUCACCAAGGCGACGAUGCGCAGCCGACCUGAGAGGGUGAUCGGCCACAUUGGAACUGAGACACGGUCCAGACUCCUACGGGAGGCAGCAGUGGGGAAUAUUGCACGAUGGAGGAAACUCUGAUGCAGCAACGCCGCGUGAGUGAUGAAGGUCUUCGGAUUGUAAAGCUCUGUCUUCUGGGACGAUAAUGACGGUACCAGAGGAGGAAGCCACGGCUAACUACGUGCCAGCAGCCGCCGCGG